Molecule: ribosomal RNA, 343 nt
Filed under: Paenibacillus polymyxa
Lineage: Bacteria; Bacillati; Bacillota; Bacilli; Caryophanales; Paenibacillaceae
Description: partial 23S ribosomal RNA
Rfam family: Bacterial large subunit ribosomal RNA
Source: RNAcentral
GCUGUUCGCCCAUUAAAGCGGUACGCGAGCUGGGUUCAGAACGUCGUGAGACAGUUCGGUCCCUAUCUGUCGUGGGCGUAGGAAAUUUGAGAGGAGCUGUCCUUAGUACGAGAGGACCGGGAUGGACGUACCGCUGGUGUACCAGUUGUUCCGCCAGGAGCACCGCUGGGUAGCUAUGUACGGAAGGGAUAAGCGCUGAAAGCAUCUAAGCGUGAAGCCCCCCUCAAGAUGAGAUUUCCCAAUUAGUAAGACCCCUUGAAGACGACGAGGUAGAUAGGUUGGGGGUGGAAGUGCAGUAAUGCAUGGAGCUGACCAAUACUAAUCGGUCGAGGGCUUAUCCUAA